UACGUAGGGCGCGAGCGUUAAUCGGAAUUACUGGGCGUAAAGCGUGCGCAGGCGGUUCGUUGUGUCGGUGGUGAAAUCCCCGGGCUUAACCUGGGAAUGGCCAUGGAAACUGGCGAACUGGAGUGUGGCAGAGGGGGGUGGAAUUCCGCGUGUAGCAGUGAAAUGCGUAGAGAUGCGGAGGAACACCGAUGGCGAAGGCAGCCCCCUGGGCUAACACUGACGCUCAGGCACGAAAGCGUGGGGAGCAAACAGG
Molecule: ribosomal RNA, 253 nt
Filed under: uncultured bacterium
Lineage: Bacteria
Description: partial 16S ribosomal RNA
Rfam family: Bacterial small subunit ribosomal RNA
Source: RNAcentral